AUGAAAGGUGGAAGCGGAAUCAUGUGUGUUGAAGACAUGAAUGCAGACAACACUGGUCCUGUUUUGCUAAAUGUCAGGUGGGCGGGCCAACGAGGUGGCUGCGGGUGGCGGAGGCUGCGGCUGGACGGUGUCUCUGUCGAAUCAUUCCGUCCGCAGCCUAGAGCAAACAAUGCGGGUUCUUCUCUUGUCGUCACUGGGAGGCUGGGACAUGAUGUCCUGAGGAAUUUCUUAGUGGGCAUACGCACGUACUACGUGCGAGCAAAGGUCGGGGAGUCGCCUCCCCCCUUCCUCCCGCACACCUCUGCACCCGCAUCUAUCAACCUCUGUCGUUGCCCUUCGUCAAACCGUCAAUUGCCACCUCUGGUGGGCGUUGCUACUAUCAUGUCGCUUCAUGGUCCUACCCUGUCCGAGUCCCUGCCUCCACCUCACCCUUGCGGCCCUGAACCCUCGACCAACCCUCUAAAGCCCUUUGUUUGGGGCCAGCGAGCCCCCGACCAUCCCUCCCCUUUGUUUGGGGCUAGUGAGCCCCUGACCAUCCUUCCCCUUUGUUUGGGUCAGCAAGCCCCUGACCAUCCCUCUAAAGCCUCCGUCCCCUUCUUUGGGGCCGCCAAGCCCCCUCCACCCUUGCACCCCUACACCUCCACAUGUCAACCUCUGCCUUGCCUUUGCAAGCGACGCAACGUCGUCUCGCCUCUGGCUCGUUGCCUGCUCACCCUCAAUCAGACAUCAAGGGUGAUCUUUCAUUUUCGGCACAUCUGCAGCUCUUGCAUCUUGGAGGAAGACAACGCUGAGCACAUCCUCAUGCAAUGCGUUUUUGCGAGGGAGGUUUGGUCUUACGCCAUCACAAAUUGCAACAUGGAUAUCCCGGCACCGGACGCUGGUAGCACGAUGCUGGAGUGGUGGCUGCUUGCGAGGAGGCAGUUUCACCGUGCCGAGCGACGCGGGUUCGAUACUAUGGUCAUGAUCACGGCGUGGGCUCUCUGGAAGCAACGUAACGCGAGAGUCUUUGACAGGAGGCAGCAGAUCGUGACGCCUACGCAGCUAUGGCAUCAUAUUGUCGUCGAAGUUUUGGACCUCAAGAGAGCUGGGGUUGGAGUAGGAGGAUUAGAUCGUUUUGUGAGAGAGUAG
RNAcentral lists this ribosomal RNA (1128 nucleotides) under Triticum aestivum (bread wheat). RNAcentral's name for it is "partial small subunit ribosomal RNA". The record is from RNAcentral. Lineage: Eukaryota; Viridiplantae; Streptophyta; Magnoliopsida; Poales; Poaceae.